UACGAAGGGGGCUAGCGUUGCUCGGAAUUACUGGGCGUAAAGCGCACGUAGGCGGCUUUCUAAGUCGGGGGUGAAAUCCUGGAGCUCAACUCCAGAACUGCCUUCGAUACUGGAAAGCUCGAGUCCGGGAGAGGUGAGUGGAACUGCGAGUGUAGAGGUGAAAUUCGUAGAUAUUCGCAAGAACCCCAGUGGCGAAGGCGGCUCACUGGCCCGAUACUGACGCUGAGGCACGAAAGCGUGGGGAGCAAACAG
This 252-nucleotide ribosomal RNA is filed under the name uncultured bacterium. Its description in RNAcentral is "partial 16S ribosomal RNA". It matches the Rfam family "Bacterial small subunit ribosomal RNA", at positions 524 to 775 of the family's 1533-position model. The record is from RNAcentral.